GAUGAACGCUGGCGGCGUGCCUAAUACAUGCAAGUCGAGCGAACGGACGAGAAGCUUGCUUCUCUGAUGUUAGCGGCGGACGGGUGAGUAACACGUGGAUAACCUACCUAUAAGACUGGGAUAACUUCGGGAAACCGGAGCUAAUACCGGAUAAUAUUUUGAACCGCAUGGUUCAAAAGUGAAAGACGGUCUUGCUGUCACUUAUAGAUGGAUCCGCGCUGCAUUAGCUAGUUGGUAAGGUAACGGCUUACCAAGGCAACGAUGCAUAGCCGACCUGAGAGGGUGAUCGGCCACACUGGAACUGAGACACGGUCCAGACUCCUACGGGAGGCAGCAGUAGGGAAUCUUCCGCAAUGGGCGAAAGCCUGACGGAGCAACGCCGCGUGAGUGAUGUAGGUCUUCGGAUCGUAAAACUCUGUUAUUAGGGAGGAACAUAUGUGUAAGUAACUGUGCACAUCUUGACGGUACCUAAUCAGAAAGCCACGGCUAACUACGUG
This 497-nucleotide ribosomal RNA is filed under the name uncultured bacterium. RNAcentral's name for it is "partial 16S ribosomal RNA". It matches the Rfam family "Bacterial small subunit ribosomal RNA", at positions 28 to 507 of the family's 1533-position model. The record is from RNAcentral.